RNAcentral lists this ribosomal RNA (443 nucleotides) under uncultured bacterium. Its description in RNAcentral is "partial 16S ribosomal RNA". It matches the Rfam family "Bacterial small subunit ribosomal RNA", at positions 338 to 795 of the family's 1533-position model. The record is from RNAcentral.
CCUACGGGAGGCAGCAGUGGGGAAUAUUGGGCAAUGGUCGCAAGCCUGACCCAGCAACGCCGCGUGAAGGAAGAAGGCAUUCGGGUUGUAAACUUCUUUUCUCAGGGACGAAGCAAGUGACGGUACCCGAGGAAUAAGCCACGGCUAACUACGUGCCAGCAGCCGCUGUAAUACGUAGGGGGCAAGCGUUAUCCGGAUUUACGGGGUGUAAAGGGCGGGUAGGCGGGGACGCAAGUCAGAUGUGAAAACCACGGGCUCAACCUGCGGCCUGCAUUUGAAACUGAGUUUCUUGAGUACUGGAGAGGCAGACGGAAUGCCUAGUGUAGCGGUGAAAUGCGUAGAUAUUAGGAGGAACACCAGUGGCGAAGGCGGUCUGCUGGACAGCAACUGACGCUGAGGCGCGAAAGCGUGGGUAGCGAACAGGAUUAGAUACCCGGGUAGUC